This 482-nucleotide ribosomal RNA is filed under the name uncultured bacterium. Its description in RNAcentral is "bacterial SSU rRNA". It matches the Rfam family "Bacterial small subunit ribosomal RNA", at positions 29 to 506 of the family's 1533-position model. The record is from RNAcentral.
UUGAACGCUGGCGGAAUGCUUUACACAUGCAAGUCGAGCGGCAGCGCGGGGGCAACCCUGGCGGCGAGCGGCGAACGGGUGAGUAACACAUCGGAACGUACCCAGUUGUGGGGGAUAGCCCGGCGAAAGCCGGAUUAAUACCGCAUACGAUCUAUGGAUGAAAGCGGGGGAUCGCAAGACCUCGCGCGAUUGGAGCGGCCGAUGUCAGAUUAGCUAGUUGGUGGGGUAAAGGCCCACCAAGGCGACGAUCUGUAGCUGGUCUGAGAGGACGACCAGCCACACUGGGACUGAGACACGGCCCAGACUCCUACGGGAGGCAGCAGUGGGGAAUUUUGGACAAUGGGCGCAAGCCUGAUCCAGCAAUGCCGCGUGCAGGAAGAAGGCCUUCGGGUUGUAAACUGCUUUUGUACGGAACGAAAAGGUCUGGGUUAAUACCCUGGGCUCAUGACGGUACCGUAAGAAUAAGCACCGGCUAACUACGU